UAGGGAAUCUUCGGCAAUGGGGGGAACCCUGACCGAGCAACGCCGCGUGAGUGAAGAAGGUUUUCGGAUCGUAAAGCUCUGUUGUUAAGGAAGAACGAGUGUGAGAAUGGAAAGUUCAUACUGUGACGGUACUUAACCAGAAAGGGACGGCUAACUACGUGCCAGCAGCCGCGGUAAUACGUAGGUCCCGAGCGUUGUCCGGAUUUAUUGGGCGUAAAGCGAGCGCAGGCGGUUAGAAAAGUCUGAAGUGAAAGGCAGUGGCUCAACCAUUGUAGGCUUUGGAAACUGUUUAACUUGAGUGCAGAAGGGGAGAGUGGAAUUCCAUGUGUAGCGGUGAAAUGCGUAGAUAUAUGGAGGAACACCGGUGGCGAAAGCGGCUCUCUGGUCUGUCACUGACGCUGAGGCUCGAAAGCGUGGGGAGCGAACA
RNAcentral lists this ribosomal RNA (427 nucleotides) under uncultured Streptococcus sp. RNAcentral describes it as "bacterial SSU rRNA". It matches the Rfam family "Bacterial small subunit ribosomal RNA", at positions 355 to 774 of the family's 1533-position model. The record is from RNAcentral. Lineage: Bacteria; Bacillati; Bacillota; Bacilli; Lactobacillales; Streptococcaceae.